RNAcentral lists this ribosomal RNA (315 nucleotides) under Paraphysomonas bandaiensis. Its description in RNAcentral is "partial Eukaryotic large subunit ribosomal RNA". It matches the Rfam family "Eukaryotic large subunit ribosomal RNA", at positions 343 to 678 of the family's 3401-position model. Lineage: Eukaryota; Chrysophyceae; Chromulinales; Paraphysomonadaceae. The record is from RNAcentral.
AACAAGUACCGUGAGGGAAAGAUGAAAAGAACUUUGGAAAGAGAGUUAAAAAGUACCUGAAAUUGCUAAGGGGGAAGUGAUGGAAAGUAACAUUGUAGGUUCAGUUCUAGGUUCGUCUGCUGAUGCUUUUCGCGUGUUUUCGGACCGCAGGGUGGGCACUGGCGUUCUGAUUGGCUGGAUUUGCUGUGUCAGCCUGGCUUUUGAUCGUGGGAAAAUGCCUAGUCAAUUGGCGACGGCGACUACCAUGUUGAAGAGUCAUUGGUUGGCGAAAUGGUUUUCAUCGACCCGUCUGGAAACACGGACCAAGGAGUCUAA